Molecule: long non-coding RNA, 1277 nt
Filed under: Vulpes vulpes (red fox)
Lineage: Eukaryota; Metazoa; Chordata; Mammalia; Carnivora; Canidae
Description: lncRNA (ENSVVUG00000016826.1)
Source: RNAcentral
UAGCAUAGAUCUCAAAGUUCUGUAAACUAUUGUACAUCAUACUAAAGCAGUGAAAACUUCAGCCCCCCCCCACCUCAAAGCUAAAUUAAUCCAGAGACUGAAUCUCAUUAUGUCACAAUGUAUGUUCCAGAGCAGAAUUUCUUUGAUUCUCUCUAAAAUUACACUUGAGCUAAAAGGCAUCAUCGCAAUCACAAAAUCUCCUAUCCUGGAGAAAGCUACAAUCUGAGAAAGGAUGCAGGUGUCCUUACGUUGACUAGGGCUCUCGGGACUGGACGAAGAACAGCUGAUCUUGGCUCUGGGCUACAGGUUGGCUGCAGGACCACUCUAUAUGGCUCUCCAUUCUCCUUGAAACGGGAGAUACCUAAGGAAUAUUCUUCUCUUGGUGACUGGCAGGAGUGCAAGAGAACCAAACUGAACCAUUCAAAUUUUUAUUUAUUCAUCGUUGUUCCAUGGAACAGGUUUGGAAAAUACUUCUGUAGAAGAGAGCUUGCAGAAGUCUCCUUUAAUCACUGAAGGAACACCAAUGUUCAGAACAGCAGGAACUAAUUAAUACUGCCUUAGCUGCCUUCGCUUCAGUUCAGAAAUGAUCCAAGAAUCAUUGUUCACCUCAAGCCUUUCCUUCCUUUCAGCUGCUACCCUUCAUAUCAUGCUCAUUUGGCUUUGUGCCUAGAUGCCACUACUUUUGCUCAGUCUCUUGGGACUGAAAACUUGACUUCAGACUUUCAGAUUGGAAGUUCCACAUGGAAGGAGCUUGGAAUUGCAUUUUGUCCUAACAACAAGAGCUAAACAGACUGAAAAAUGAGCUAUUCCUUGGAUCCAUAAGAGGGAGAAAACACAAGGCAAACUGCUGCCCCCAUGGUUGAAGAGUAGACAGAAAAACUGAGAGUAAUGGCUUAGCAGAGCAGAGACGCAGGAGCAGAAAACUUCACCAGAAUCAGUGCUGGGGUAAGAAAAUCUGAUCUGUAAUUGAUAAAUUGCUGGAGACUCAGUGUGGACAAGUUGGAGAAUGAAAAACUCCAAAGGGACCCAGUCAUAGAGAGGUUCCUUCAAUAUUGAGAUUUAUUUCCAGGAGCUAGACUAGAUUUCCAUAGUAAAUAUCAGAGAAAGGUCACCUCCAGUUUCUGAAAGGGGAAGGGGAAAAGAAACCAUUCUGAAAUAUGCCAGAGAACUCCAUUCUCCACAAAGCCUGUCAUCAGGGGAAACUAGUUAACCAGAGCCUAACUUUCUGGGGUAUUAUCAGAGCCUAACUAACUAAUCUGGGAAAAAGAAAUACCUGA